Molecule: ribosomal RNA, 506 nt
Filed under: uncultured bacterium
Lineage: Bacteria
Description: partial 16S ribosomal RNA
Rfam family: Bacterial small subunit ribosomal RNA
Source: RNAcentral
AUUGAACGCUGGCGGCAGGCCUAACACAUGCAAGUCGGACGGUAGCACAGAGGAGCUUGCUCCUUGGGUGACGAGUGGCGGACGGGUGAGUAAUGUCUGGGGAUCUGCCCGAUAGAGGGGGAUAACCACUGGAAACGGUGGCUAAUACCGCAUAACGUCGCAAGACCAAGGAGGGGGACCUUCGGGCCUCUCACUAUCGGAUGAACCCAGAUGGGAUUAGCUAGUAGGCGGGGUAAUGGCCCACCUAGGCGACGAUCCCUAGCUGGUCUGAGAGGAUAACCAGCCACACGGGAACGGAGACCAGGUCCAGACUCCUACGGGAGGCAGCAGUGGGGAAUAUUGCAAAGGGGGCGCAAGCCUGAUGCAGCCAUACCGGGUGUAGGAAGAAGGCCUGGGGGUUGAAAAGUACUUUCAGCGGGGAGGAAGGCGGUGAGGUUAAUAACCUCACCGAUUGACGUUACCCGAAGAAGAAGCACCGGCUAACUCCGUGCCAGCAGCCGCGGUAA